UUGCUGGAAACCAACAAGCAUCCCUCGGGCUCCGUACUGCUUCUACCCUCCACAAUACGAUACCUACCACUUCAUGAACAGUACGGAAAACAAACAUGGCAUUACAGUUUAUUAUGGGAAAGGACGGGACGCAAUGUACCCUGGACAGUUUGCGACUGUUAAACUUGAUUUUAAUUAUGUUUCCGAUGAUAUCCUACAGAUAAAGAUAACAGACGCAGAUAACCGCAGAUUCGAACCCGCUUACCCCGAGAUCCCGAUGGUGUCGGGUCCCCUUUCACAGCUGAAGUACCGUGUAGAGGUCGAUAGUUCUGCUGUAGGAUUUAAGGUCGUGAGGAAUGCAGAUAAUGUUACCAUGUGAGAUUAUCACCUAAUUUAUUUAAUAAGAUGGAUAACUGAUUUUGUAAAAUUUUA
Long non-coding RNA from Melitaea cinxia (Glanville fritillary), 411 nucleotides. RefSeq lists it as uncharacterized. The record is from RefSeq and is a predicted model, not a curated record. The transcript is spliced from 2 exons. NCBI's taxonomy places the organism in Eukaryota, Metazoa, Arthropoda, Insecta, Lepidoptera, Nymphalidae.